Long non-coding RNA from Dromaius novaehollandiae (emu), 13051 nucleotides. RefSeq lists it as uncharacterized. NCBI's taxonomy places the organism in Eukaryota, Metazoa, Chordata, Aves, Casuariiformes, Dromaiidae. The transcript is spliced from 16 exons. The record is from RefSeq and is a predicted model, not a curated record.
CCCAGCCCGUAACGGGGCGGGGCUGGUGCACGAGACAGGUCCUGGCAGCUGCAUACGCACUCGGGUCUCCGGCCGGACCUGUGUGUGCUUAACUGCUCACCGAGUCGUUAUCGGAUCAGCAAUGGCGCUUAACAAGCCCCUGCUACGAGGCUUGGCCGGAGUCCGCUCCCUGCUGCGAAGGAGUUCAUUGGGCCGCCUGUACAUCUGCCAGGAGCGGCAGCCUACACGAAGCACGAAGCACCCCUCUGAAGGCGCGAGGCAAAGUGACGAUUCUAACGGCUGGUUCUGCAGCCGCUGCGCGUGGGUGGCGGGCACGGCGCGAGCACUAACCCCAGCGCGCGCGGCUCCGCACUGCCCCCGCUAAGCGCCCUGCCCUACCCGCCGCUGCCACACCUGCGCCUAGUGCGCCUGCGAGGGCAGGGAGCUCCUAGUGCGCCUGGUAGCGGCCGCGCCCGCCCGCGCCGGCGGGGCGGGAGCGGAGCGGAGCCGCGCGCGGCGUCCGGGGUUCGAGGCCGGGGCGCGGGCAGCCGGGAGGCCCCGGGAAGCGGCGGCGCUUGCGGAACGGGCUACACGAGGGGUGAAGUACAGUGUUUUCUGUGGAGUGUCUGGAUUGCUUUAUUGCUUUUAAGUGUUCUCAAAAUCUGCUUCGUAUAAUGAUCCUGUAUUACAGCUUCAGCGAGUGACCUAGAAGGAAAUUUUUAAGUACCUGAUUUGGUACAUAAUGUAUAUAUUUUUAUAAGUGUGUGUGUAUACCAGGUGAUGUGUUGUACAAAGAUUCUGGAGGUAGUAAAAUACUGAAUCGCUUGGUAACCCCAUCUGUAAAAACGCUCAUGCUUCCUGGAAAAACAGAGGACCCGGAUCAUUUCCAGCCCGGACACUCUAGGCUAGAGUCCUUGGUUUUGACCUGGUCAAUAGGGAUUUGGAUCUGUGUCUAGCUCCUGAGGCCUGGCAGUGCCUAUGUCUGCCCCUUUCCCUCCGCUUGGCUCUGCGGGAUGCCUGGCGGUGGUGAGCCCCACGCACCUUUGCUCACCCCUUUUGGGCAAGGCUGAGACCCAGCCCACAGCCUCUGCAGGCCUUGCUCGUGGUUGCCAGGGUUCGUGGGGAUUCCCCUGACUCCUGAUAGCGCCAGGCAACUUCCCACAGAAAACACAGUAUAUGUUGUUAAAUAAUGUUAGGGAGCCACGGGGCAGUAUCACGAGGGAUGCCACAUUUACCAUCACUUAGAAUGUCUAAAUCCACCUUAGAUAUCGUUGUAAACACUAUGUAUAUAUAUAAAAUGUAAUCUACUAGAAACUCUGAUAAUGAGUGUCAGCAGACAAAAUCUGUGACCAUGUAGGAAAUGUUUCCUUAAAGUGCAUCAGCCUUCAGAUAACAAUCACAAUAUUUUUUUUGUUUUGAUCAAAAAUGGAUAUUCCUUGGUAAGUUUGUGAGGAUUUUUUUUUUUUUUUUCCCAAACCCUGGGAGGGUGGUGGUUUAAACUCAUGUUUACAAAUGGAGGCAUCUUUUACUGUUGUGUUAGUAGCAGUUCUGCAUUGUGUAUUAACUUGCAGUGGUGAGAGCUUAACAAAUCCUGUUAUCUUGUAACAAUAAUUAUGUACUAGACAUCCUUAACUCAAUUAUUUUGUAAAAUGACAUUGUGAACUUCAGCCCUUUUCUUCUGUUUUUCAGAUUCUUUAGGUCUUCAAAUGGUGAAAGAGGACUCUCUGUUAACUUAAACUGAUAAAACCUUGACCCCCCCCAACUUUCUUAAACAGUUUCACUUUUCAACAUUCUUAAAUGUUUCACUUUUUCAAGAUGCAAGGUAACGUAUGCAUGCUGUGCACAAGCUUGUGAUACAGUCCUCCUUGCUCCAAGGAACGGCAUAUUAAUGGCUUAUAUUAAUGAGCUCCAAGGAAUGGCAUUAUACAAGUCAAAUUGAUGGGUUUGCCCCAGUCCACGGGUUUGCACCUUCUUCCAAACUCCUUGUCUCUAUUCUCUUUAUUGAAACCAGAGCCUCAUGACCCAAAUUUUCUACUGUAGUAUCCUCAUCUCUCUAACCUCUGCAAGCCCCAGUUUCAUAUCCGUCCCUCUGCUUUGCUAGUGUUAUUUAUCCUUUUCAAAUCAUGGUAUUUUACUAUGGAACAAGCAGUCGUGCUGGUCAGCUGUAGAUUUCAGCUACCUCUGAAGGAAAGGGUCAAUGUCUAAUGUCUAAUUAGCACUGAACCAGUUACUCUGCAGCACUUGAUUGAGAGUGACAGUAAAUAAUUAUAGUUUAUUAGCUUUUUGUUCUGUAUGUGUAUUGGAACAGACAAAUUUGUCCAGGAUAGUUCUACUUAAUUUUUUCUACAUCUUUUUCUCAAAGUCUCCCCCACCCCCCCACCACCACUGUGUCUGCAUUGUUUCUUACUCUCUGUCAUUGUUCCACCCUUGCUUGUAGGUGUUGGCCAGCAUGCAGAUGGGCAGAGCUGUCAGCUACAAGGUGGUUAGUGCCUCACAGUGGUCAGGUAGUUGAGACUUAGUGGUACCAUCAUAUGCUGCAUGGCUUGGUGGCUGCAGAGCACAGACUGCUGCUUCAGGGGUUGGCAGCUGUUGUAGAAAGGAGCAGGCAAAACUCAAGUGUUUUUGUUUGUUUCUGCAGCAUGGCAUGGCAGAAAUGUUCUGUAUUUGUCUAAUAUCUUAACUGAUUCCACUUGCAGAGGUUAAAUUUAAAGCUUAAAUCGAUAGGUUUAUCUUAUUUUCUUUCAUCGUUUUGUUGUUCAUGCUCUCCCAUAGCAUGAGGAGGAACUGCAUCUCUUGAUUUGCUCUCUGGUGUCUGCUGGUCGAGGUUUGUUGGAGGAUGGGAUAUAUCUGUGACGUCUUUCUGCUAGAAACAUUGGGAACACAUGGCUGUGAGGUCAAUUCUGCCCUGACUGUAAUGAUGGCAGCUGCUUGGAGCUGUAGUUCUCAUUUCCAUCUGGGCCAAACGUGUGUGUCUUGCCAGUAGACUGCAUACGGUGGUGUAGAUGAGUCUUCAGUCCUGAGUGCCUGUGUCUCUGCCAUACAGGUUUGAUGGCUCAGUGAGAGCUUGCUCUGUGUGCGCUGCUGCAGUGCAAACGCAAAAGGCCAUAGCAGGUUGUUUGAAAUCUUCUUUUGGUAAUCCUUGAUAAACAAGUCUGUAUAAUUCUCAACAGUUUAAGUGAGAUUUUAUUUCUGUAUAUGCUUAUUAGCCAUGUGUAUAGUACAUUGAAAAUUAUCAUGUCCAUCAACCUACAUGUACAGUCAGGCCACUAAUUUCACCUUUCUGCAAUCCUAAACCCUCUUAAACGCUGGGUACUUCAAACUGUACUGCAAAAAAUUUCUUACUGCCCUCUUAACUUCUACUGGCAAAGAUUCCACAGCACACAUUAAAGUGUGAAUGCUUUAUAAUGCUUUUCAAGACUUUGAAGAUAGCUGUAUGGUCCUCUGUUUAAUACUCGGCUUUCUUUAAGUAGUUAUUUUGCAGAAGUAAACAUUCAUGGGGGAAAAAUCCAGCCCAAGAAGCUGAGGUAUCUCAUUUAAUGAAAAUGAAGAUUAGAGGCAGAAUUCUUAUUUAUUUAUUUCAGUUUAACUUUUGUAAUUCCACAAAGCUUUAUGGAAGAAAUGUAACGGCGAGAGUGGACAGUAUAAGCAGUUGUGUCUCAUAACUGAGACGUAAGUGGAAAUACUGUUCUAUAUUUUUGUAGGUAACUCAGAGCAGUUUUUUCCCCACCCUUUUCAGUUAUGGCUCUGGGAUAAUUUAAAAUGUUCCUGUGUGGAAAAGGAUGUGCUGAGUGAUGCUGACUGAACUGUUUUAUACUAGUACUUCAUUCAGUUUCCACUGAAGUAAGGGGAAUGGGAGGUGAAUUAAAUAUAGUUCGAUGUUUGCUGAUGGCUAGAAAAUGAAUUUACACAUAAUAGCAUAUGCCUUUUUUUUUUUUUCCUUGAAGAGACCAUUUUACUUUAAAAAGUUAAAUACAAUUCUCGGUACUGCAUUCAUUUGCAUUACAAAACAGUACUUUGUCAAAAGCAUCUUUACCCUUCAGUCUCUUUUUAAAUAUGUCUGUGUUAUGGAAAAAGUAAACAUGUACUUUUAAAUAUCAUAUGAGUGAUAUGAUUUUUUUGAAAUCCACCUCUUCUUUAAAAUAUGCUCAGGUAUUGUUCUCAGUUCAUUAGCAUGGAUUUGUGGUACAGGAAACACUCACAUCAGCUAUUUUAACCAUUAGUCACCUAUUGCAUAUAUUGACUGUAUUAAAUAGCAAUCAGAAGUUUGUUUUUGUCAGCAUAGCAGCUAUCAGCAAAGAUUUAAGAAGCUGGCAGAUUUUUCUUGUGUAUGUUUUAAAUUCUUAUUGUUACAGUUGUGGCUGUUCUGUUUGAAAGGCACUUACUGAAAGUUUUUGCAGGCAGCCGUCUCUCUACAAGUCCGGGAUGCCAGGAUAAUCCUCUAAUAAAAGAGGCAAAACAUAUCAGUGGGCUUCCUACUCCUUUUAGAAUAGGAAUUUCUCAGGCUACAACCAAAAGUUACAUGUGAAUGUUUGCCACUUCUUUAAAUGCUUAGUUAAAAUAUGUGUAUUCUGUCGUCGUAUGUGUCUAAUGGAUCACUUCUUACAUGUGUUUUCUAGAGGAAAAAGAAGUGGAUCCAGAAAAGGUCCUAUAUCAGUUCCUUUAAGAAAAAACUUUUGGUUAUUGAUGAGCACAUAUAUCUGUAAAGAAAUAUCAUUUACUUUUCACAAACAGGCUGAAGCUGUUAUUUAUCAAUUUUUGCAUGGAUAUUUUGCACUUUCAGCUCUCUGAUGCACCAUUGACAUAGCUUUUGCAUGGACAGGGUUGCUUCUCCAGUAAGUCUGUGGUUUUAUGCCAAGGGAAAGAGUGGAUACAGAACGGCACAGAAAAGGGGGUGUUAUUAUUUAUGUAUAAUGUGUGACCUCUGUUUGUGUGUAUUUGUACGACUAGAGAGAGACUGAGAACAAUUACGGGAACCUUUCUUUGCUGUAAAGCAUUGAUAAAAACUGUGUGAGGAGGCAAGAUCUUUGUCAGCUGGUGAUAGAUUCACUACAGCUGGAAGCCCGUUUCAUUCUAAUUCUCAUUUUAAGAAUUCUUCUUAUACCUAACCAUCCCAGCCAUCACACAUAUAGCACCAGAACUUUCCUUGGUAUUGCUCUGGCAUCUAAAGCUUGCUAACUUCCUUAGAUAUGUUAUAUUGGGAUUUGUGUUUAACCAGAUUCUUGAUGUAACCAGAUGUCUCUUUGCUCCUGCAUUCUGGCUAUGUCUUUUCCUCCUAUAUGCAUAACGUAGGACUUCGCUGCAGUCUUUGUAUUGGUAAAACAACAGUCACUCAAGGAUUUGGAAACUAAGUUAUUGAACAUCAAGUACUGGAUAGUAAUGGUCUAUGUGUAUUAUUACUGCAUUGUAACUUAAGUAUUUCAUGGUAGUUUCAAGAAAAAGGGAUACAUUACAUUUAUUGUGGAGCAAAUGGGUGCACUAUUUGCAUAAUUAUAACUUACCUGAUGUAAUGUGCAACACAUUGCAGUGACACUUCCCUGUCAUUUUUUAUUUUAUUCUACUUUUUGUUACCUGCAACUCUUACUCGUAUUGGUUUUGUACUUGGUUUUUUGGAUCACUUUUAGUACACUAAUUGCUGUAUGUAGAGCAGUUUACCUACGGAUUUUGUUAGCUCUGACUCCAUUGUUAAAAGAUUCCGUUUGCUAAGUAAACUUUUUUUUUACAAUAUUUUUCAUCCAGAUACUCUAUAGGUCUUAAAACAUAUGCCAUAUGUGAAUUAAACUGUUUUCAAUCACCAGUAUCUUUGUCUAAGUUUUAAUCCUCUUGGAAGCAACAAUGAACAAAACAAAAUUUCCACUCAAAGUCAAAUUUAUUUUUCAGUGAGUCCUAAGAAAGAAAUGUUGACUAGCUGUUGGCUUUUAAUUUUUUGGAGAUUUUUUCUUACUCUGUUGUUCUACCUGAGGCUGAGGUAAUGGUAAUAUAUCCCUUUGCGUUAUUCUAUUUAUUCUUUAAGUGUUACUCUUCUGCCAGGUGUUCCUUACUAAAUUCUUUUAGACAGCAUCAUCUCAGUCCUUUAUCUAAAAAUCUGGAGACUACUUUGAUGUCUCUGUGACUCAGUGGGCACUUCUUUCCACUCACAAGCAAAGAUAAAUAGAUCAGAUCAGAAUCUUAGUGGAGAGAAGAGAAAGGGAAGAUGCAACAUGUCCCAGAUAUCUGGAAUUUCUUCAGUCUUUGAACAGCUUACUUGGUAUAAAAGUUAGUAAAAAUUGAUUUCUAUCUAAACAGGUAAUAAAAAGUUUGAAAACAAAACCCCAACACACCUGUAAAAUCUAAGCAAACUCUGUAAAUUGGGAUAUUUCCAUCUGUUCUACUUUUGAAGUUGAGAUGUCUAUUUGUUUUUCUGUGAAAAGAUGGAGGAAAACUAUAUAUUUGGCCUUAGCACCAAGUAGAUAAAGAAGCUGUGCAGUAGUCAGUUGCCUACUUGUAAUAACCACAAGUACGUUUUUAACUCUUUAGAUAAUACAGUUUGAAGCUCGUAGCAUUUUAACCAAACAUUAUUUAACCUUUCUGACUACCUAUUUCUAAAACAUGAAUUUAUAAUGAUUUAUAAUUUUUCAGCUACUAGAUAGUCAAUGAUGAAUGAACGCAGAGCAUUUCUGGGCUUUUGGAUGGCAUCCUCUGAAUUGAAACUUGUAUGUUGUUGGCCUCCUCUUUACCUAUUUCUUUCCUUUCAUUGACAGAAAAAUGGAAAUUACUCAGGAUUUUAGAAGAGGUUGGCAAAAAGGUGUAUUUUUUGGAAAGUGCAGGAAGACUGAAAGGGUUCAAGCAGCAACAUUCUCAAACAGAAUCUGAUGGUUCCGGCUACUACUAAUGAUCUAUUUGGACAAAAGAAAGGGCACUACGACUUUAGGAACCGAGAAAGUUUAUAAACAGAAAUCACUGUAAGAAGAAAUAAGGAGUGAAAGUUUUGAUGAAAGAUGUGUCAGUCUUCUGAAAACACAGAGUGCUCUUCAAGGAAAACUUAACAAGUUGCUCAAACACCUGCUUGCUAUGAGGCAAACACUGAGCUGCAUAUUUGCCCCAGGACAGGAGUCUUGGGAGAGAGCUUACCACAUCCCCGCAGCAGCAGAUAAAUCAUGUGACUAGAUGUCAUCAGUCUCUGGAGGAAUGCGAUAGAGUUGCUUAUUUUGACACUUCUUGUGCCAUCUGUGCCGUGGGUAAGGAAAUAAGCUGUGGAGCCGGUGCUGGACCAGUUGGCAGCAGGUGGUCAGAAGAGUCUGGUAUUUCUGUUAACACUACUCAGGCUGCUCGGGAAGUGCAGGCCUGGUUUUGAGUUUUUUCCUGUCAGACUGCUGUGAAGUUGCCUAAAUGGCUCACACCUGGGUACAGGCAUCUCAGGAGGAGAACUGACACAAGCAGUGGAAAGCCUCAGUGCAGAAAUCUGUGUUGCAAGGUCUUGGAGAAAGAAGAGCAACCUUUGGUGUGGGAAUGCAUUUCUGAAGCUCAGCAAAUGCAAGGUGUAAAGCUGGUUUAAAUUUUUACAUCAGCUGUGAAUUUUACACAAUGCAUUUCAGCAGACCUGGAGAAAGGACCCAGAAGCCUUUGCCAUCUAUGCAGACCCACUAGGACAAGUCACAGCUCCUCCUGUGCCGAACGAAUGCCUAUAUGACUGGGAUUCAAAGAAUUUGGUGUGCUGGCUGAAUCAUCAGUUUCUCCCACAGUGAUGGCUAUCACAAUGCAGGUUUUCUGAACUAUUACAACACUGCCUCACAACCAAAGCAGAGUCCUCAGCUGGAGCAUACAGCUAGACUAAGACAUUAUUACUACUUGAAAGAUCAUUAAAACAAAACUCUCCACACUGAAAUUUGACCUACCAAGAAAAACAGCUCUUAAGGAUUUAUGAGGUCGUGAGCCAACGUGAACAGAAAAUAUGCCAGCAGAGGCACAACAUGAAGAGUGAGGUUUGAGCUUCCCUGUUAUUCUUUAACCGCAACCUGAAGUGACCACCUGUAGAGAUCAGAGACUUCAUUACAGCUUCCUCUGCUCCUGCUCAGCUCUUCUGAUGAAGAUGGGGUGGUUAAAUUGUCACCCUUCUUUGAGGAGGAUAAUGCCGAUGUCACAACUAACCUGAACUUCCCUUCUACAAAGAUGCUUUAGCACCUUUCUCUAAAUCCUGUUUAAAACUCCCCUCCGCUGUGAUGCCUACAGAGCUUGGCACCUGGUUGGCAGCUGCUGGGCUUGGGCUGACUAUUGUGUUGGUAUUCCUUCGCAAAUGUUAUUUACCUCUUAUCUUUCAGUGUCAGUACUGUGGGGAAAGGAUCAUCCUUUGGUUCUGCGUCUGAAAGCACCUGGUCCACAAUUUGGACCCAGCAGAUUGGUGCAGCAGCCCUGGCUAAUGGACACAGUUCACAACAGUUGUGCCAGCCCCCGGGGAGUCCAGGAAAUGGGAAAAAGCCCUGGCAGAUUUGUCAUGUGUGUGCAUGCGUGGGUGAAUGCUUCCCAGCCUAAUCUAACAACUGCAAGGAGAAUUUCACACUGAGGCUUCUGGCUCUUCUGCUGAUGAAUGAGGCUUUGUACAGUUCAGUGGUUCCCAAGUGUGGUUUGAGGAGCUCUUCCAAGCAGUCUGCACAGCUGCUUUUGUCAGAGGGGGAGGGAGCAUCUGCCGAUUUAAAAGCAUUUCUUCCAGUUACAGCUGAGUCUGAGCAUUGCUUAGAUUUUUCACAGCAUUUUAAAAGGACUUUUUUCAGUAUAAGAUGCUCCUCCACGAAUGUCUUUUGUUCUUGCCUUGUGUGCUUGUGUGUGCAUUUGGUUUAGAUUCAGUGGUUUUGUGCUGUAACACGUGGCUCAAACUAGCACUUGAAGGGGCAGGUAUCAAAGAAGAGAUACAAAAUGCCAAAAAUGCUGGAAAAAUUAAAAGCCACAAAGAGGACAGAAUAUACUAAAAUCUUUCACUAGAGAUGUUACAUCCUAUUUGCAGAAAAGAAAAUAGCUGUAGAAGUCAGAGGCUGAGCUGUGUGAAAGACCAUAAUCAGUACACACACAAAAUUCAGUUUGAUUUUUUUUUUUUUUUAACACUGUCCCAGUGUUUUGCAUUUAUCCAAGCGUGGUAUAUGCUACAGGGAGACAUUCCAAAGGAUCUUGUGGUACAAGGAAAGAAGACAUUUAUUUUUAGUGAUCUUACACACUACAUAUACAUAUGUAUACAUAGUAUAUGCAUACAUAUAUGCAGACAUGUGUAGGCAUGCAUAGUUCAGUUGGAGAAUCUCUGAUUUAGUUGCAUGAUAUUACCGGGUCCAGGAAUGCCAAGGCUUGCUCUUUGCUUGCCGGGACUGUCACUUCUUAGCAGGUUACCAUCAUGGUAGUUCCUUGGCGGGGGGGGGGGAAAGGUGUCCUUGCAAGUUUUUGAAACAAGUUGAAGUUUGUAGUCACUGUGGUAACUUAAGUCAAGUUAAGGUACUUUAAGAAAAGCAACUUUGAGCAGAGUUGUUCUUGUCCUCACUUUCUCUUUCUACACCAUGGGACACUUGGCUUCUUAGUGAGAUUAAAAUGCAAUAUAAUAUUUAGAAUCUGCUGGUUUCGGUACAAAUUUGAUUCAAAGCAUAUUUGUACAAGGUCAAAACGCUUUUAAGUUUUCUAGAUGCUAAAAGCCUAAUUCAAAACACAGUGAAAUCAAUUGGACUCUUUCCACUGACUUCAAUGGAUUUUGGAUCAAGCGCUAAUUUACAUAAAAUGAAGUACUUUCUUAUGCCCCAGAGCAUUACAUAACUUGAGAAGCACUUUCUGGAGAAGGGUGUGCUCACCUUCCUCUGAAUUGUCAGGUGUUAGCUGUUACCAGGAUCAGCUCUGAUGGCUCAAUCACAUAAUGCUUUGCUGGAAACCCUGUUUCAAAUCAUUUUUUCAAGUCUCAAGUUGGAUAGCGUUAUGGCAGCUAAUCUUCUUUUCCAAAAACAGAACUAAAACCUACACAUCCAUGUCUUCAGGAAAAGAUGUUCUUAAUAUCAGAAACUUCAUGUGUAAUAUGUAUUUUUAUAUAUAUAUGUAUCAUACAUAUACAUGUACUUAUUUUACCUUUCUCUGUCUAUGGAUGACAUUAUUCAUAUUUAGUUCUAGUUCUGCAGCAGUCUGAAGUGCUGUGCAGCAAACAACAUACUGUAUGCCCUGGCCAGAAAAAGUGGUCAGAAUCCUACUUACAGAUAUUACAUCAUUAACUACCUUGCAGGCUACUGUGAGCAGAACAGUAUAGCAAUUGCGUUGACAGAGUAAGGUAAUUUUAUAAUAUCACUGCUAAUUAAUACAGUAUUAUGACUUAAUUCAGGAAUUAGUCUAACAAUUCGUGUUGUGUCAUAUUCUGAGUAAUGCAAAUUAAUUGCACUGCUUUUUUGUUUAUAUUCUCUUCUACCUUCAAGAAUGACUUGCUACUGAAAGUGUAUGUUGCUAAGCAAGUAUUCAGUAAGAAAAAUGCAGUAAGAAGGUCCAGUCCAUUAAGAGAACAAUUUCAAUAUAGCUUCAGCGAGUGAGUUGAAAUGCCUCCUUUUAACUACUCCUACACAGAGGAACAGGCUUAAUAACUAGCAACGUGGCUGUCAAAUUCCUUCUCUAACAAUUGGCCAGUUACAUAUCAAAGCUGAAGUUUCACCUCACAUUUUGUCGUAUUCAAACAUACAACAAACCUACCCACUUAGCUUAAUAUAAUGUUAGAUGUUACAGAUUUUCUUACCCAGGCAAACUUAAGAGAAGCUGUGUUGUCAGUGGGAACGAGGCAUGAAUCUAGGAGAUUCUUGGAUUCCCUGUCUCUGCAACUACUCUGAUGCUUCAGAAAACUCCAUUUCAUUUAUGUUGGAGACCACUGCAGCAGAUAAUGCCACACUGCACCAAGGACUGAAGUUCAUUCUUAGCCCUAGCAAUGCUUGCUUUUGUCAUAUGGCAUUAACACUUAUGUCAUGUGGCUUUUCACACUUAGCACUGAAAAGCAAUUAUCAAAACAUCAAUGCAAAGUGUCAGUGGAGAUUUUUGCAUCGAAUCUUAGAAACCGUCUUAUGCCAGUUCUGUUAAACACCAAGUUUGGUGGGAUUUUUAAUACAAGACAGGUGACAAAAAUCUCUAUGAGAGAUCAGGUCUCUGCAAGGAGCAGUUCAGUCUCUAGGGCAUAAAAAGUGCUCACUAAUAUAACCAAACAUCAUUUAUGACAGCUGUGUGCGUCUGCUAAAAUAAGAGCAUUAGAAAUAUUAUGUGGUAGAAGGGUGUAAUCUAUGAUAUGAUGGAGGAAAUACACAAGUGAAGUCUAUAUUAACUGUCGUUCAAUUAUCUAUGAGACUAACUAGAACAAGUUUCUUCAGUAUAUUGGCCAAGCAGCCCCCUGGAGAAGGUCGGUCUGCUAGCUGUGAUGUAUAUUCUUUCCCAUUGUGGGGACCGUAGUAGCCAGAAGGCUUCAUUCCUUACACAGCAACUUAUUUUUAAAGUUUUUAUCACUUACUGACUACAACAGGCUGUUCAUAUGUAUGUGUAGUGUCUGAGAAAUGUGUUUCAAAAUAUGGCCUUAAGCACUUUGCAGACACUUUCAGACUUGUAAAAUAGAGAAUUUCCUCAUCUAUCAACAACUCUCUCAAGCUCUCCAUCCUCAUACCUUUAGGGAGCUUUUCCUGUAACAGCUUGAAUACAUGAAAAACUGCUACUAGGGCAUGGGACACAAGGAAAACAAACUGCUAUACCUAUAACUGCUUUGUUUUAGCCCUGAUUUACCUCAACUAGCAUGAAUAAGGAUGACACAACUGGUCCUAGAAAUCAAUGGCUGUGUGUGAAGAAUGAAAUGAACCAUUACUCAGCAUUAGUCAACAAAACAUGAUUUCCUUAAUCACACUGUCCCAGUGUCUUGUUUUCUUCGUAUUUUUUACUUCAGUUGGAAAAAUCCAUAGCAGUAUAAUAUUAUUAGAUCCUAAGAAAAAGGAAAGAUGCCAUAUGACCUCUAGUGAAGUACCUUAUCAGGUAAGCUAUUUAUGGGGUUAACUGGUGAAAACAGCAUUACUGACAUCUGAUACCACAAAGCUUCACAGUACUUUGCAGGUCAGCAUGAGCAAAUUCUGCCUUUGCAUAGAGCUGGCCAGAUGUCAACCAGAGCCAAAGAAGAAACUGCGUCCGCGGGUGGCUGGCAUGACAUGGAUCCUGAGAGGAUAAGCCUCUCUCGGGUAGGUUAUGGGGAGUAGUCCAGGCAAAGCCCUGCACUAAUACAGCUGCAUGGCUUCUGGCACGCAGGGUGAACAGGCAGAGUAAGCCUGUAUCAGCCUAUACAGAGCUGACACGCGUGGACGUCGCCUCGCUGUGACACCAUCCAAAGUCAAGCCUUAUGUCAAAGAGGGCUUCAGGGAAGACAAGUAGCUGCACAACUUUACUCUUAUCAAAGUGUUAUGGUUCUGCUAGAGCAGUACAAAAUUAAAAGGAGGUAGGCGCUGCCUGUUAAUAGAGGAAAAAGCAUGAGUCUUUCAUGGAGAGCUUUGAAGCAAGAGCAAGCAAGAGGCAAGAUAUGUUCUUACAGCCACAGCUCUUCUAAUGAAUAGUGACUGUCUUACAGAAAAAGCCAAAGGUUUUCUUGCUAGGUUGUGGCAAUUUACAUUCAUUCUAACUCUUAAUGAAGCCCAUAUUUUUGUUUGUUUUCUUAUACUUUGCAAUUUGAUAAAAUGAAGUUUGGUGGGGGGGGUGAGGAGAUUUUUUCGGUGGCUUUCAUAUUAAAAGCGGAAUCCAAGGAAAUCAGUUUGUCUCACAAUUUUUAAGAUUCACUAUGCUUUUCCUGAGGAGACUCAGGUGUCUGUAAAGGUCAUGUGAGGAAGAUGAAAACUAGGCCUUAUGAGGCCUGCCUUGCUUCAGUGAUGCCUCAAGCACUUAAACCUGGUGUAGAAGUACUACGUGGUGUAAAUGACACAUAGGACUCCCCGCAGUAAACGAAUUUUAACCUAUAUCAUAAGAUACCCAAAGCGAUGUCUUGUAAUGCAUAUCAUACACUCUAAAAAUAGAACAAAGUGGUUAAAUUUGGGCCUUUUGUGACUUCAAUUAAAUAUGUAAGAAUAAAAAAAAGUCUCAGGUA